Molecule: ribosomal RNA, 454 nt
Filed under: uncultured bacterium
Lineage: Bacteria
Description: bacterial SSU rRNA
Rfam family: Bacterial small subunit ribosomal RNA
Source: RNAcentral
UGAACGCUGGCGGCGUGCUUAACACAUGCAAGUCGAACGAUGAAGCCUAGCUUGCUAGGUGGAUUAGUGGCGCACGGGUGAGUAAUAUAUAGAUAAUGUGCCCCUUAGUCUGGGAUAGCCAUUGGAAACGAUGAUUAAUACUAGAUACUCCUUCUCAUUUUAAUUUGAGUUGGGAAAGUUUUUCGCUAAGGGAUCAGUCUAUAUCGCAUCAGUUAGUUGGUGGGGUAAUGGCCUACCAAGACAAUGACGCGUAGCGGGUUUGAGAGGAUGAUCCGCCACACUGGUACUGAGACACGGACCAGACUCCUACGGGAGGCAGCAGUGAGGAAUAUUGCACAAUGGGGGAAACCCUGAUGCAGCAACGCCGCGUGGAGGAUGACGCAUUUCGGUGUGUAAACUCCUUUUAUAUGUCAAGAAAAUGACGGUAGCAUAUGAAUAAGCACCGGCUAACUCC